GGCCAGACUCCUACGGGAGGCAGCAGUGGGGAAUAUUGGGCAAUGGGCGCAAGCCUGACCCAGCAACGCCGCGUGAAGGAAGAAGGCUUUCGGGUUGUAAACUUCUUUUGUCAGGGACGAAGCAAGUGACGGUACCUGUCGAAUAAGCCACGGCUAACUACGUGCCAGCAGCCGCGGUAAUACGUAGGUGGCAAGCGUUGUCCGGAUUUACUGGGUGUAAAGGGCGUGUAGCCGGGCUGACAAGUCAGAUGUGAAAUCCGGGGGCUCAACCCCCGAACUGCAUUUGAAACUGUUUUUCUUGAGUACUGGAGAGGCAGACGGAAUUCCUAGUGUAGCGGUGAAAUGCGUAGAUAUUAGGAGGAACACCAGUGGCGAAGGCGGUCUGCUGGACAGCAACUGACGCUGAGGCGCGAAAGCGUGGGGAGCAAACAGGAUUAGAUACCCGAGUA
This 449-nucleotide ribosomal RNA is filed under the name uncultured bacterium. Its description in RNAcentral is "bacterial SSU rRNA". It matches the Rfam family "Bacterial small subunit ribosomal RNA", at positions 329 to 792 of the family's 1533-position model. The record is from RNAcentral.